GACGAACGCUGGCGGCGUGCCUAAUACAUGCAAGUUGAGCGCUGAGGCCUUGUACUUGUACCAACUGGAUGAACAGCGAACGGGUGAGUAACGAGUGGGGCAUCUGCCUUUGAGCGGGGGACAACAAUUGGAAACGAAUGCUAAUACCGCAUACAAACUUUAAACACAAGUUUGAAGUUUGAAAGAGGCAAUUGCAUCACUCAAAGCUGAUCCCGCGUUGUAUUAGCUAGUUGGUUAGGUAAAGGCGCACCAAGGCGAUGAUACAUAGCCGACCUGGGAGGGUGGUAGGCCACAUUGGAGCGUACACACCGCCCAAAGUACUACGAGACGCAGCAGUAGGGAACCUGAGGCAAUAGAGGAGAGUCUUACAGAACAGCCGCGCGCGAGUGAAGAAAGUUUUCGGAUCGUAAAAAUCUGUUGGUAGAGAUGAACGUCUGUCAGAGUGGAAAGAUCAUCAAGUGACGGUAACUACCGAGAAAGCGACGGCUAACUACGCG
Molecule: ribosomal RNA, 497 nt
Filed under: uncultured bacterium
Lineage: Bacteria
Description: partial 16S ribosomal RNA
Rfam family: Bacterial small subunit ribosomal RNA
Source: RNAcentral